This is an RNA transcript of Nomia melanderi (Alkali bee), 4093 nucleotides long. It is a transcript of the gene named putative glutamate--tRNA ligase, mitochondrial, with no coding region annotated. NCBI's taxonomy places the organism in Eukaryota, Metazoa, Arthropoda, Insecta, Hymenoptera, Halictidae. The record is from RefSeq and is a predicted model, not a curated record.
AGAAAUAUCGCUGUUCUCGAAUAUUUUGAAAAAAUGAUUUUUGAAAAAACCUAAAUAUUGAUCGUUUAAAGCUAUUUAAAUUACUUAUAUAUAAAAUGGUUUUGUAUCCUCGCAAUAAUUAUAAAAGAUAUUUGGGCACUCAUUCUUAAAUGAGACACCCUGUAUAUCAUGUGUGAAAGUUGUGCAGAAGCAACGUGAACGAAUUAUGUAUGGUACAUGUUUUUGAUAACCUAUUCACUUCUAUUACAAGAAUAUCUGAAAUUAGUGAAUUAAAGAAUUAAAGUGUUAUACUUUAAUACGUAGUAAACUGUACUAUAUGCAAUCAUAAUUUAAUAUAAGACAUUAUCAGCAUUCAAUGAAAUUUAAAUGACUGUAAUGUAAUUUACUUUUGGAAUAAGAUGCAUCGCAAUAUAUAUCGUACAUUAAGUGUUCAAGUUUUACAAAAACGUUUUUUCAAAAAGGAGCAAGUAAGAGUUAGGUUUGCACCCAGUCCAACUGGUUUAUUACACUUAGGAGGUUUACGAACUGCAUUAUAUAAUUAUUUAUUUGCACGAGCUAAUAAUGGUGCAUUUAUAUUACGAAUUGAGGACACAGAUCAAAGUAGAUGUAUUCCAGGAGCAAUGGAAAAGAUUCAAAAUGAUUUGUUAUGGUGUGGAAUUAUAGCUGAUGAGAGCCCUAUAAGAGGAGGACCUACUGGACCAUAUAUUCAGUCAAAACGACUUGACAUAUACAAAGAACAAGUACUUAAACUUUUAAGUAAUCAAUCUGCAUAUUACUGUUUCUGCACAGAAAGCAGACUGCAGUUAUUGCGAAGAAUCGCUUUGAAGUGUGGACAGGUGCCUAAAUAUGAUAACAAAUGUCGGCAUUUGAGUAGUGAUAAAGUAAAAGAAAAACUCGAUAAAGGACUUCCAUAUUGUAUCAGAUUUAAGUUAUCAUCUACACCAGAAUAUUUUAAUGAUAUGAUAUAUGGUGAAAUAACACAUGAUAUUGUACAAUCUGAAGGAGAUCCAAUUAUUAUAAAAUCAGAUGGUUAUCCGACUUAUCAUUUUGCAAAUGUUGUUGAUGACCAUUUUAUGGAGAUAUCCCAUGUGUUACGAGGAAUUGAAUGGCAAAUAUCUACACCUAAGCAUAUAAUGAUGUAUAAAGCAUUUAAUUGGACACCUCCUAAGUAUGGACAUUUACCUUUAAUAUUAAAUGCAAAUGGAACAAAAUUAUCGAAGAGACAAAAUGAUAUAAAUAUUGAAUUUUUACGGAGACAAGGAAUUUUUCCAUUGGCAGUUCUAAAUUAUGUUAUACAUGCUGGUGGUGGCUUCAAUAACAAAGGGGGUGUCGAAUACAUCCACAGCUAUGAGGAGUUAAUUAAACAAUUUAAUAUUUCUGCUAUAAAAGUGAACUCCAAUAAACUGUUAUCCGAAAAACUGUUACAAUUUAAUAAGCUAGAAAUUACUAAAUUAUUGGCGAAUGAAAAAAAUAAUAAAUUCUUGAUUGAAAGAAUUAAAGAAUUAGUUAUAGAUGCAUUUCCAGAAAGACAUGCAGAUGGAACUUUACAAUUAGAUGAUCAUCAUAUACUUGCAAUAUUGAAAUGGGCACAGAGUAGAAUAUAUAAAUUAAGUGAUCUGGUGUCUAAAGAAUUAGCAUUUUUAUGGAUGAUACCAUCAGUGGCACCCGAUAUUAUAGAAUCGGAAUGUUUAGAUGUGCUUAAAAUAUUAAACAUGAAAUUACUUGAAACUGAUAUUCAUAAUUUUAAUAAGACAUGGAUCAAUACUUAUCUUAAAGAAUUUGCUAAUGAGCAUGAAAUUCCUUUUCCAACGCUGAUGAAAGUAUUACGUGGGAUUCUUAGUGGUUUAAAGGAUGGUCCACCUGUAGGUGAAAUGAUAGAAAUUUUAGGAAAAGACACUACAUUAUUAAGGAUAAAUCGUUGCAUUUCUUAAAGCUAAUUCUGUGAUUGAAUACAUCUGUGUGUAUAAAUAUCUCGAUGCUACCAUAUCUAUAGAUAUACAAAGCAUUAGGAAUCAUUCUAAUUGCCCAGAAAAAAUUGGAAAAAGAUUUACAUUGGAAUGGAAAUAUACAUAUACGAGAGGAUCGACUAAUUUUUGUAGUAUAGAUUGAGCAUCCGAUAACAUUCAAAAAGACAAGGCGUAAUAAAUGGAGUACUACAUUGAAUUGUAUAAUCGUGAAAGAUUUCUGGUUAUGUUAUUAACAGUUUAUUCUAAAGUGUACAUUGUAAAAAGAAGUUUACGACAUUGAGAAACAGUUUAACUGUUCUCUAUUCUUUGAAUUACUACAUUGAAACGCGUAAUAUUCUUUUCCGUUUGUUAGAAAAAUCUCCUGAUUCGUUUAAAGAAUGUGUUCUCUAACUUGGUUGAGUAUAUAUAUAUACAUAUUCAUUUAUAACAUGACACAGUCUGCAUCUUAAGCAUAUGAUGUGCGUUACUAUUUCAAAUUAUAGAUUUCUUUAUUAAUAGAUUUUAACUAUUUAUCAAUCAGUAAAUAUUUCUAUAUUGGAUAUAAAUAAAUUAAAAAAUUGAUACGAAAUCAUAGCCUAUAUAAAAUUGUAAUAUGUAACAUUCUUAAUUUACAAAAAUUUAUCGUUAUACAACCACGUAAAAAUAUAAUAAAUAACAAAAAUUAGAAAAUAUUUAAUUUUUUUCACAUAUAGCAUUAACAAAUGUUAAAAAGGUUCUUAUGUGAGAUAAAGUUAUUUUAGUAACUAUAUAAAAUAAUAAUUUGUUAUAGUGAUUAUUACUGCAUAAAUAAUAUAGAAAUUCAGUAGCGAUAUAAUCAUUACAUCGCAAUAAUUAUACAUACUGUUUAGUGUAAUGCUGUCUCUGCAUAAUAUCAAAGAAGUCAAAUGCAAAUAUUGCGCUUAAGAUCAAUAAUAAAAAAUAUAUUUCAAUGUACUUCGUUCAAAUUAAUACGAUCAAAUAAAUUAAUAUGUUGAUAAGAUAAUAAAUCAGUAACCAAUAUUCAAGUAUUGUAAUAUAGCAAUUCUUCUGUGAUUUUAAAAGAUCAAAUUUAGCAAUACAGUAUGUAAGUGCAAUACUGUUGUAAAUAUAGGUAUAUACGUAUAGCAAAUGUGCAGUUACCUUUAGAGAUUCAUACAAGACGCAUACAUCUACAUGCAACAGACACAGACAGGCAUUUAUACGCACAUACACAAAAGAGAUCUCAUAGUAUUAAAUGACUUAGGCUAUUAAAUGAUUAAAUUCGCUAUGAAGAAAACUUCUGGCUAAUAUAGCCUGUGUUUACAAUGCUCUAUUAAAGUGAAAAGGUACUUAACUAAAGGCAGGUACAAAAGGAGAUAUCAAGUCCCCAAACAAUUCAACCAUAGGCAGUCCUGAUAAGUAGAUCUUUGAGAAGUAAUGAUUGUUUCUUUUAAUUAUUGAUACUGAUGGUAGAAUAUUUGCCAACCACCCAAAUAUUAUAAAUCCGGGGUGACUGGAGUAGGGCAGAUAAUUAUUCUGAUCAUUGGUGUAUGAACUGAAUAAUUAAGAUACCUGAGCAUUUGAAAGCCUGGUGCAAUAUUAUGAUAAGGGAUAUGAUACGAGUAGACAACGGAAGUUACACAGAUACUGCUAGAAAUAUACAGAAUUAUUGAACUAUGUAUUAAUAAAUUAUUUUAUACACGAUUACAAGUUUUCUUUAACUUUAGUUUAUCUACUCGGAUUAAAUCCUACGUUACAAAGUUUUGACUUUUCAAAUACUGAGCUAUCGAUAAUAUCAGUAUCAUCAUACAGUUGAAAUCAGUUGACCGCUCAAGACUACUCUUUUAUCUUUCAAGCACGACAAACAUGUCUUUUACUUUCAUUGCAAGCUUAUAUACUUAUUUUAAAUUGUGUCUAUAGAUUUGCAUGCAAAGAUGAAAAGUAGAAGACAGUGCAGUCGAUAUAGGGUAUGUGAUAAUAAUCAUACAGUGGCAGAGAGCGGUUAACUAAUUUUAGUGAUAGUAAUAAUCAGUAGUAAUUGUAUUUCUAUUAGAAAACUUAUUUAUAAAGUAUUAUUAUAACAGAUUUAGUUUAUACUUGAUGAUCAUGCUAUGUAAAAGAAUCAUGUAGAUGCGAUAUUUAAUUUAAUAAAGAGUUACACCAACCCC